AGAGUUGAUCUGGCUCAGGAUGAACGCUAGCUACAGGCUAACACAUGCAAGUCGAGGGGUAGCAGGAUCUAGCAAUAGAUGCUGACGACCGGCGCACGGGUGAGUAACACGUAUCCAACCUUCCGUUUACUCGGGGAUAGCCUUUCGAAAGAAAGAUUAAUACCCGAUAGUAUGCUUUUCCCGCAUGGGAGAAUCAUUAAAGUUUUUCGGUAAUCGAUGGGGAUGCGUUCCAUUAGGCAGUUGGUGAGGUAACGGCUCACCAAACCUUCGAUGGAUAGGGGUUCUGAGAGGAAGGUCCCCCCACAUUGGAACUGAGACACGGUCCAAACUCCUACGGGAGGCAGCAGUGAGGAAUAUUGGUCAAUGGACGAGAGUCUGAACCAGCCAAGUAGCGUGAAGGAUGACUGCCCUAUGGGUUGUAAACUUCUUUUAUAUGGGAAUAAAGGAGCCUACGUGUAGGUUUUUGUAUGUACCAUACGAAUAAGGAUCGGCUAACUCCGUGCCAGCAGCCGC
RNAcentral lists this ribosomal RNA (513 nucleotides) under uncultured bacterium. Its description in RNAcentral is "bacterial SSU rRNA". It matches the Rfam family "Bacterial small subunit ribosomal RNA", at positions 8 to 518 of the family's 1533-position model. The record is from RNAcentral.